GACGAACGCUGGCGGCGUGCUUAACACAUGCAAGUCGAACGGAAAGGCCCUGCGUUUGUGGGGUGCUCGAGUGGCGAACGGGUGAGUAACACGUGAGUAACCUGCCCUUGACUUUGGGAGAACUUCAGGAAACUGGGGCUAAUACCGGAUAGGAGCUCCUGCUGCAUGGGGGGGGUUGGAAAGUUUCGGCGGUGGGGGAUGGACUCGCGGCUUAUCAGCUUGUUGGUGGGGUAGUGGCUUACCAAGGCUUUGACGGGUAGCCGGCCUGAGAGGGUGACCGGCCACAUUGGGACUGAGAUACGGCCCAGACUCCUACGGGAGGCAGCAGUGGGGAAUAUUGCACAAUGGGCGGAAGCCUGAUGCAGCAACGCCGCGUGCGGGAUGACGGCCUUCGGGUUGUAAACCGCUUUCGCCUGUGACGAAGCGUGAGUGACGGUAAUGGGUAAAGAAGCACCGGCUAACUACGUG
This 468-nucleotide ribosomal RNA is filed under the name uncultured bacterium. Its description in RNAcentral is "partial 16S ribosomal RNA". It matches the Rfam family "Bacterial small subunit ribosomal RNA", at positions 28 to 507 of the family's 1533-position model. The record is from RNAcentral.